This 253-nucleotide ribosomal RNA is filed under the name uncultured bacterium. RNAcentral's name for it is "partial 16S ribosomal RNA". It matches the Rfam family "Bacterial small subunit ribosomal RNA", at positions 524 to 776 of the family's 1533-position model. The record is from RNAcentral.
UACGUAGGGCGCAAGCGUUGUCCGGAAUUAUUGGGCGUAAAGAGCUCGUAGGCGGUUUGUUGCGUCGGCUGUGAAAUCCCGAGGCUCAACCUCGGGUCUGCAGUCGAUACGAGCAAACUAGAGUGUUGCAGGGGAGACUGGAAUUCCUGGUGUAGCGGUGAAAUGCGCAGAUAUCAGGAGGAACACCGGUGGCGAAGGCGGGUCUCUGGGCAACAACUGACGCUGAGGAGCGAAAGCGUGGGGAGCGAACAGG